UUUUUUUUUUUUUUUUUUUUUUUUUUUUUUUGCUUUUUAGGGCUACAACCAUGGGGUAUAUGAAGGUUCCCAGGCUAGGGGUUGAAUCAGAGCUACAGCUGCCGGCCUACACCAUAGCUCAUAGCACCACCAGAUCCUUAACCCACUGAUCGAGGCCAGGGAUCGAACCUGCAAUCUCAUGGUCCCUAAUCGGAUUCAUUUCCGCUUUGCCAGGAUGGGAACUCCAGAAAGAAAAACAUCUUUGGAGGAGGAUUAAAAGGACUAAUUCCCAGAGUUCCUGUCGUGGCUCAGUGGUUAACGAAUCCGACAAGGAACCAUGAGUUUAUACCAAUAAUAAAGGAGGAGCUCCCACUGUGGGUGCAACAGGAUCAGUGGUAUCUCUGGAGUGCUGGGACACAGGUUUGAUUCACAGCCCGGCACAGUGGGUUAAAGAUCCAGCAUUGCCGCAGCUGUGGCUCAGAUUUGAUUCCUGGCCUGGGAACUCCAUGUGCUUCAGGGCAGCCAAAAAAGAAAAAUGAAUAAAUAAAAAUAAAGGGGAAGAGAGAGCUCAUCCUUAUACAGUAGAAUGUUAACAAUAAACAGAGGUAAUGAUGGAGUUAGAAAAUACCAAUUUAUGGGAGUUCCUAUUGUGGCUCAGUGGUAACAAAACCCAUUAGUAUCUAUGAGGAUGUGGGUUCAAUCCCUGGCCUCACUCACUGGGUUAAGUACCUGGCAUUGCUGCAAACUGUAGUGUAGGUCGCAGAUGUGGCUUGGAUCCUGUGUUGCUGUGGCUGUGUUGUAGGGCAACAGCGGUAGCUCUGAUUUGAUCCCUAGCCUGGGAACUUCCAUAUGCCGCGGGUGCAACCCUAAAAUGCACACACACACACACACAAAAUUAAAAAGAAAAUACCAUUUUGCAACCAACAGAAUGAAGACUGAUCCAGCUAUGGAUCAUCAAGGAAUGCUAAAUUUAGGGUAUGUGGGGAAUUUGAUGAUAAAUGGGAUGUUUAGCUCAUCUCAAAGUAUCUCUCCACAUACAAUUUAUUACAAAAGGAAAAAUGCUAACUGUACAAUGGAGAAAUCAGAAAAUAUCUUAUGCACAUGAACAAAAUUAACAGAACCAAAAUAGGACUAAGGGACAUCUUGCAUCUCUAGGUAUGUAUUCCCAGAAAGAAACGUUAUCACGUGUAUAAUUUCGGCCUAAACUACAUAAACUAGAUGAGAUACCCAGAUUGAGGGGCAUUUAAUAAAAUAUCUGGUCCAGAGUUCCUGUCAUGGUGCAGUGGAAAAGAAUCCAACUAGGAAACAUGAAGUUGAGGGUUUGAUCCCUGGCCUCACUCAGUGGGUUAAGGAUUCAGCAUUGCUGUGAGCCGUGCUGUAGGCUGGCAGCUGUGGCUCUGAUUUGACCCCUAGCCUGGGAAUCUCCAUAUGCCACGCUUGUGACCCUAAAAAAAAAAAACAAAACUGGUUUGUAUGCUUCAAAAAUGUCAAUGGCAUGAAAAACAAAGAAAAGCUGACAAAAUUGUUCCAGAUUAAGGGAAAUUAUACAAUAAGCAAUCCUAGACUGGAUCCUGUAUUGGAAAAAAAUUGUCAUAAAGGACAGGACUGGGACACCUGAUAAAACUGGAAUAUAGAUUUUAAAUUUGACCAAAGUAUUACACCCAGUAUUAAAUUUUCUGGAGUUAAUAACCAUGUUUUAGAUAUGUAAGAGACUAUUCUUGUUCUUAGGAAAUACACAGUGAAAUACUACAAGGAAAGGAGUAUGAUGCAUGCAACCUACUAUUAAAGAGCUCAGAAUAUUAUAUGAACAUUCAUCUAUACUAUAGCGUAGUGGAUGGAUAGAAGGAUGGAUGGAUAAUCAAUAGGUACAUAUACUCAGUGAAACAUAUAUAAGGUAACAGAUAUGUUUAAAAGAGAUUUAGUUUAUCAAUUUAACUUUUAUUAUUAUUUCUCAAUAUUACGAUUUGUACACCUUUAUCAUUUUUGGCUUGGUAUGAUUCUCUUAUCUUUAUAAAUAAACUGCUCUUCUUGUCUUGACUCUCCUCUUUAUUCUCAGAAUUCAGACAAUUCAUCUACCUGUGACUGUCUUAGUUUGUGUCUCUUUUUUUCUAACUUGGUAAAACCAUUUUGGUCUGAAAACCCAGGUCUUUCUUCGGCUCAGGAAAGUUUAUUUUCAAUUAUCUCAAUUUUUACAUUUUCAUAAUUCUAUUUUCACAUUAUAGAAAAGAGACUACAAUUCACAGAUUUAUUUUUCCUUUGAUCUUUCUUAUCAAUCUCUUACCUUUCAAUUUUAUUUUCCAUUUUUUUCUCUUUCUGUUUUUUAAAAGUCUUUCCAAUUCCUACUUGGGUUUUUGGCACUGUCCAUACAGGUUACGUUUUAUUAAUUUCUUUACAUUUUAUAUAUCAUGAUUUUUGUCCUUUGAAGUCCUUUAUGUGUUCCCAACACCAACAUUCCCCUGCAGUAUCUUCUUUUAUCCACUUAUUGUUUCAUUUUUGUUGUUAUUUUAAUCUUUUGUUUCUUCCACGACAGCAGUCUCUGUGGAGCCACCUGUUAUGGUUUAUUGAACUUGACCUCCCUCUUUCAAGAUGCUGUAUGUUCUUUUUUUUUUUUUUUUUUUUUUUUUUUUUUGCCACAGCAGUGACAAUACUGGAUCCUUAACCCCCCAACCACCAGGGAACUCCAUGGGUGCUGGAUGUUCUUGAGUACUUCGUGCUCUCUUUCAGUUCGGGGUUGGGAGAUUGGCAGGCAGUGAGAGGUAAGGGAGUGAACGUCCUGGGCUCUCAGGUUUCUCAAAGUAUGAGAAAGAUCAGUUCUCUCCCCUCAGCCUGGAAGAGGAGCAAUUCAGACCAAUCAGUACUGUUGUCCACUGUUAUCAGGCUGUCUCAGGGAUGGGCAGGCCCAGCUC
RNAcentral lists this long non-coding RNA (2885 nucleotides) under Sus scrofa (pig). RNAcentral's name for it is "lncRNA (ENSSSCG00045029650.1)". Lineage: Eukaryota; Metazoa; Chordata; Mammalia; Artiodactyla; Suidae. The record is from RNAcentral.